Molecule: ribosomal RNA, 254 nt
Filed under: uncultured bacterium
Lineage: Bacteria
Description: partial 16S ribosomal RNA
Rfam family: Bacterial small subunit ribosomal RNA
Source: RNAcentral
UACGGGGGGGGCAAGCGUUGUUCGGAAUUACUGGGCGUAAAGGGUUCGUAGGUGGCUUGCUAAGUCAGACGUGAAAUCCCUCAGCUUAACUGGGGAACUGCGUCUGAGACUGGCAAGCUCGAGUGCAGGAGAGGAACGCAGAAUUCCAGGUGUAGCGGUGAAAUGCGUAGAUAUCUGGAGGAAUACCGGUGGCGAAGGCGGCGUUCUGGACUGCAACUGACACUGAGUGAACGAAAGCGUGGGGAGCGAACAGG